Molecule: transfer RNA, 97 nt
Filed under: Lentinula edodes (shiitake mushroom)
Lineage: Eukaryota; Fungi; Basidiomycota; Agaricomycetes; Agaricales; Omphalotaceae
Description: tRNA-Gln
Rfam family: tRNA
About the family: Transfer RNA (tRNA) molecules are approximately 80 nucleotides in length. Their secondary structure includes four short double-helical elements and three loops (D, anti-codon, and T loops).
Source: RNAcentral
GGUCUAAUAGUGUAGAGGUUAUCACACGGGAUUCUGAUAUUUCACAUUUUAAAUGGUAUAUAUUCCCGUGACCCAGGUUCGAGUCCUGGUUAGACCU